This 573-nucleotide ribosomal RNA is filed under the name Burkholderia sp. RNAcentral describes it as "bacterial SSU rRNA". It matches the Rfam family "Bacterial small subunit ribosomal RNA", at positions 193 to 747 of the family's 1533-position model. The record is from RNAcentral. Lineage: Bacteria; Pseudomonadati; Pseudomonadota; Betaproteobacteria; Burkholderiales; Burkholderiaceae.
UCUACGGAUGAAAGCGGGGGACCUUCGGGCCUCGCGCUAUAGGGUUGGCCGAUGGCUGAUUAGCUAGUUGGUGGGGUAAAGGCCUACCAAGGCGACGAUCAGUAGCUGGUCUGAGAGGACGACCAGCCACACUGGGACUGAGACACGGCCCAGACUCCUACGGGAGGCAGCAGUGGGGAAUUUUGGACAAUGGGCGAAAGCCUGAUCCAGCAAUGCCGCGUGUGUGAAGAAGGCCUUCGGGUUGUAAAGCACUUUUGUCCGGAAAGAAAUCCUUGGCCCUAAUACGGUCGGGGGAUGACGGUACCGGAAGAAUAAGCACCGGCUAACUACGUGCCAGCAGCCGCGGUAAUACGUAGGGUGCGAGCGUUAAUCGGAAUUACUGGGCGUAAAGCGUGCGCAGGCGGUUUGCUAAGACCGAUGUGAAAUCCCCGGGCUCAACCUGGGAACUGCAUUGGUGACUGGCAGGCUAGAGUAUGGCAGAGGGGGGUAGAAUUCCACGUGUAGCAGUGAAAUGCGUAGAGAUGUGGAGGAAUACCGAUGGCGAAGGCAGCCCCCUGGGCCAAUACUGACGCU